UACGAAGGGGGCUAGCGUUGCUCGGAAUCACUGGGCGUAAAGGGUGCGUAGGCGGGUCUUUAAGUCAGGGGCGAAAUCCUGGGGCUCAACUCCAGAACUGCCUUUGAUACUGAAGAUCUUGAGUUCGGGAGAGGUGAGUGGAACUGCGAGUGUAGAGGUGAAAUUCGUAGAUAUUGGGAGGAACACCAGUGGCGAAGGCGGCGACCUGGACGGACAUUGACGCUGAGACGCGAAAGCGUGGGGAGCAAACAGG
Molecule: ribosomal RNA, 253 nt
Filed under: uncultured bacterium
Lineage: Bacteria
Description: partial 16S ribosomal RNA
Rfam family: Bacterial small subunit ribosomal RNA
Source: RNAcentral